AGAACGAACGCUGGCGGCAUGCCUAACACAUGCAAGUCGAACGAGACCUUCGGGUCUAGUGGCGCACGGGUGCGUAACGCGUGGGAAUCUGCCCUUGGGUUCGGGAUAACAGUUGGGAACGACUGCUAAUACCGGAUAAUGACUUCGGUCCAAAGAUUUAUUGCCCAGGGAUGAGCCCGCGUAGGAUUAGCUAGUUGGUGAGGUAAAGGCUCACCAAGGCGACGAUCCUUAGCUGGUCUGAGAGGAUGAUCAGCCACACUGGGACUGAGACACGGCCCAGACUCCUACGGGAGGCAGCAGUGGGGAAUAUUGGACAAUGGGCGAAAGCCUGAUCCAGCAAUGCCGCGUGAGUGAUGAAGGCCUUAGGUUGUAAAGCUCUUUUACCCGGGAUGAUAAUGACAGUACCGGAGAAUAAGCCCGGCUAACUCCGUGCCAGCAGCCGC
Molecule: ribosomal RNA, 443 nt
Filed under: uncultured soil bacterium
Lineage: Bacteria
Description: bacterial SSU rRNA
Rfam family: Bacterial small subunit ribosomal RNA
Source: RNAcentral